ACCUUAUCGACAACGCCAUCAGCAAGAAACCACAGGUCGUGCAGAUCGAUCCGACCGACAAGGCGUUCAAGACCGACGGCUGCCAGCCCUGGCAGCUGACUCCCGACGCCGUCGUGCCCCCCACUACACCGCCCCCGGGUGUGGCAGGCACCCUCGGCAUCCUGAACGGGCUGCUCGGCGGGAAUAGCCCGCC
RNAcentral lists this non-coding RNA (193 nucleotides) under Mycobacterium conspicuum. RNAcentral describes it as "Mycobacterium sRNA 6715". It matches the Rfam family "Mycobacterium sRNA 6715". Rfam says of the family: First sRNA identified as a potential biomarker for the detection of MTB in patients. Lineage: Bacteria; Bacillati; Actinomycetota; Actinomycetes; Mycobacteriales; Mycobacteriaceae. The record is from Rfam by way of RNAcentral.